AGGCUGAUCAGUCCAAAAUCUGCUGAGUGGACCAGUAGGCUGGCAACUCAGGAAUGAGCCAGAGUUGCAGUUCAAGUCCAAAAAUCAUCAGUUGCAGAAUUCUCUGCUACUCAAGAACUUUCAACUGAUUGGAUGAGACCCAUCCACUUGAUGGAGGGCAAUCUGCUUUACUAAAAGUCUGUGAAUUAAAAGUGUCACAUAAAUAGCCACUGCCUCAAGUCUUCUGGGAAAAAAUUUAUCUACUUGCUCUUUUGGAAGACAUAGAUCUUCUGGGAGAUCCACUCGCUGGUUAUUUCUGUCCUUUGUCUGUGAGAAAUGGGCUUCUUCCCAGUGGAAGCUUCUAAAGGGAUUUUUCUGAAGGAAAAAUCACACCACAAUGAAGUGACUUCCCAGGCAAUUAUUCUAGGAUAACUUCUCCUGAACUUUCUUAUCUCACGGCCAUCCUGCCCUGCACUGUUAAGACAGUCAGUAAAGUUCCCCGUGCUUGAUUUCACCCGGAACAUCCACACACCAAGGCAUUUGGAGACAGCAGACUUCACUGAAGGUUUGUGGUAAUGGGUGUUAGACCUCAAAAUCCAACAGCAAAGAACGUGGCCGUGGAAUUGAAGAGAUC
Non-coding RNA from Odocoileus virginianus texanus, 613 nucleotides. NCBI's taxonomy places the organism in Eukaryota, Metazoa, Chordata, Mammalia, Artiodactyla, Cervidae. The record is from RefSeq and is a predicted model, not a curated record.